This 68-nucleotide transfer RNA is filed under the name Hylemya variata. RNAcentral's name for it is "tRNA-Ala". It matches the Rfam family "tRNA". Rfam says of the family: Transfer RNA (tRNA) molecules are approximately 80 nucleotides in length. Their secondary structure includes four short double-helical elements and three loops (D, anti-codon, and T loops). Lineage: Eukaryota; Metazoa; Arthropoda; Insecta; Diptera; Anthomyiidae. The record is from RNAcentral.
AGGGUUGUAGUUAAUUAUAACAUUUAAUUUGCAUUUAAAAAAUAUUGAAAUAGAUUCAAUCUACCUUA